GUGUCAGCCGCCGCGGUAAUACGGGGGGGGCUAGCGUUGUUCGGAAUUACUGGGCGUAAAGGGCUCGUAGGUGGCCAACUAAGUCAUGCGUGAAAUCCCUCGGCUUAACCGGGGAACUGCGUCUGAUACUGGAUGGCUUGAAUCCGGGAGAGGGAUGCGGAAUUCCAGGUGUAGCGGUGAAAUGCGUAGAUAUCUGGAGGAACACCGGUGGCGAAGGCGGCAUCCUGGACCGGCAUUGACACUGAGGAGCGAAAGCCAGGGGAGCAAACGGGAUUAGAUACCCCCGUAGUCC
RNAcentral lists this ribosomal RNA (292 nucleotides) under uncultured bacterium. Its description in RNAcentral is "partial 16S ribosomal RNA". It matches the Rfam family "Bacterial small subunit ribosomal RNA", at positions 505 to 796 of the family's 1533-position model. The record is from RNAcentral.